This 1419-nucleotide ribosomal RNA is filed under the name Salmonella enterica. RNAcentral's name for it is "partial 23S ribosomal RNA". It matches the Rfam family "Bacterial large subunit ribosomal RNA", at positions 1239 to 2640 of the family's 2925-position model. Lineage: Bacteria; Pseudomonadati; Pseudomonadota; Gammaproteobacteria; Enterobacterales; Enterobacteriaceae. The record is from RNAcentral.
UUCUGUAAGCCGUUGAAGGUGUCCUGUGAGGGGUGCUGGAGGUAUCAGAAGUGCGAAUGCUGACAUAAGUAACGAUAAAGCGGGUGAAAAGCCCGCUCGCCGGAAGACCAAGGGUUCCUGUCCAACGUUAAUCGGGGCAGGGUGAGUCGACCCCUAAGGCGAGGCCGAAAGGCGUAGUCGAUGGGAAACGGGUUAAUAUUCCCGUACUUGGUGUUACUGCGAAGGGGGGACGGAGAAGGCUAUGUUGGCCGGGCGACGGUUGUCCCGGUUUAAGCGUGUAGGUGUGUGUUCCAGGUAAAUCCGGUUCACUUUAACACUGAGGCGUGAUGACGAGGCACCACGGUGCUGAAGCAACAAAUGCCCUGCUUCCAGGAAAAGCCUCUAAGCAUCAGGUAACAUCAAAUCGUACCCCAAACCGACACAGGUGGUCAGGUAGAGAAUACCAAGGCGCUUGAGAGAACUCGGGUGAAGGAACUAGGCAAAAUGGUGCCGUAACUUCGGGAGAAGGCACGCUGACACGUAGGUGAAGUGAUUUACUCAUGGAGCUGAAGUCAGUCGAAGAUACCAGCUGGCUGCAACUGUUUAUUAAAAACACAGCACUGUGCAAACACGAAAGUGGACGUAUACGGUGUGACGCCUGCCCGGUGCCGGAAGGUUAAUUGAUGGGGUCAGCGCAAGCGAAGCUCCUGAUCGAAGCCCCGGUAAACGGCGGCCGUAACUAUAACGGUCCUAAGGUAGCGAAAUUCCUUGUCGGGUAAGUUCCGACCUGCACGAAUGGCGUAAUGAUGGCCAGGCUGUCUCCACCCGAGACUCAGUGAAAUUGAACUCGCUGUGAAGAUGCAGUGUACCCGCGGCAAGACGGAAAGACCCCGUGAACCUUUACUAUAGCUUGACACUGAACAUUGAGCCUUGAUGUGUAGGAUAGGUGGGAGGCUUUGAAGCGUGGACGCCAGUCUGCGUGGAGCCGACCUUGAAAUACCACCCUUUAAUGUUUGAUGUUCUAACGUGGACCCGUAAUCCGGGUUGCGGACAGUGUCUGGUGGGUAGUUUGACUGGGGCGGUCUCCUCCUAAAGAGUAACGGAGGAGCACGAAGGUUGGCUAAUCCUGGUCGGACAUCAGGAGGUUAGUGCAAUGGCAUAAGCCAGCUUGACUGCGAGCGUGACGGCGCGAGCAGGUGCGAAAGCAGGUCAUAGUGAUCCGGUGGUUCUGAAUGGAAGGGCCAUCGCUCAACGGAUAAAAGGUACUCCGGGGAUAACAGGCUGAUACCGCCCAAGAGUUCAUAUCGACGGCGGUGUUUGGCACCUCGAUGUCGGCUCAUCACAUCCUGGGGCUGAAGUAGGUCCCAAGGGUAUGGCUGUUCGCCAUUUAAAGUGGUACGCGAGCUGGGUUUAGAACGUCGUGAGACAGUUCGGUCCCUA